RNAcentral lists this ribosomal RNA (662 nucleotides) under Lycogala sp. Its description in RNAcentral is "partial small subunit ribosomal RNA". It matches the Rfam family "Eukaryotic small subunit ribosomal RNA", at positions 14 to 446 of the family's 1831-position model. Lineage: Eukaryota; Evosea; Eumycetozoa; Liceales; Enteridiidae. The record is from RNAcentral.
CUGCCAGAAUUCAUAUGCUUGUCCCGAAGACUUAAGCCAUGCAUGCCCAUUGACAAAUCAAGGCCUGGCGACGGAUUCCCCUUACCGGGAAGGCAGGGAUCAGUUGCCCUGUUAGCCCCUCGCCAGGCCGAGGAAUCAGCGAACGGCUCCGCAUAUCUGUUGUAACCUAUCGUGGUAAGUAAGGCGUGGAUAUAGCACGGAAAAGCUGUGUGUAACACAGUUGAAUUGGGGCAACCUCGGCCGAGUGCCUCUCGGCCUGUUUGGAGUAAUUGGGCACCCUGCAAUGCUGCACUUUGAUCGUAGUGCAGGGCCCAGCCUCGCAAAUCCUCCUAUAGUAAGGUGCCGGGGCAGGCCCCCCUAAAAAAGGGGUCACACCUCGCGUCUACCGAGAAACGGAGGCCUCUUCUGGGGUUCUUUCCCGACCGGGCAGCAAAGUAGCUCCGCUCAGGCAGGUAGCUCGAUAAUUGUCGCCCUGAUCACACAACCCCGUACAGAAGAAACUAACCACGAGCGCACGAUGGGCUUCAGACCUAUCAGCUUGAUGGUAGGGUAUUGGCCUACCAUGGCUAUGACGGGUACAGAGGAUUAGGGUUUGAUCCUGGAGAGGUAGCCUGAGAGAUCGCUCCCACUUCUAAGGAAGGCAGCAGGCGCGUAACGUUCCC